AUUGAACGCUGGCGGCAUGCCUUACACAUGCAAAUCGAACGGUAACGGGCCUUCGGGUGCCGACGAGUGGCGAACGGUUGAGUAAUACAUCGGAACGGGCCCGAUCGUGGGGGAUAACGAGGCGAAAGCUUUGCUAAUACCGCAUACGAUCUACGGAUGAAAGCAGGGGACCGCAAGGCCUUGCGCGGACGGAGCGGCCGCUGGCAGAUUAGGUAGUUGGUGGGAUAAAAGCUUACCAAGCCGACGAUCUGUAGCUGGUCUGAGAGGAUGAUCAGCCACACUGGGACUGAGACACGGCCCAGACUCCUACGGGAGGCAGCAGUGGGCAAUUUUGGACAAUGGGCGCAAGCCUGAUCCAGCCAUGCCGCGUGCAGGAUGAAGGCCUUCGGGUUGUAAACUGAUUUUGUACGGAAAGAAAAGCCUUCUUUUAAUACAGGAGGGUCAUGACGGUACCGUAAGAAUAAGCACCGGCUAACUACGUG
This 482-nucleotide ribosomal RNA is filed under the name uncultured bacterium. Its description in RNAcentral is "partial 16S ribosomal RNA". It matches the Rfam family "Bacterial small subunit ribosomal RNA", at positions 30 to 507 of the family's 1533-position model. The record is from RNAcentral.